UGUCAAGGGAUGGGAAUCGAACCCACAGUGUUCCGCUUACCGGGUAGAUGCCAUGUCCACUAGGAUCCCUGGAC
Cordylochernes scorpioides is the source of this 74-nucleotide non-coding RNA. The record is from the annotation of a GenBank genome assembly. NCBI's taxonomy places the organism in Eukaryota, Metazoa, Arthropoda, Arachnida, Pseudoscorpiones, Chernetidae.